GCCUCCGUAGCUCAGUUGGAUAGAGCAACCGCCUUCUAAGCGGUAGGUCGCGGGUUCGAGCCCCGCCGGGGGUA
Molecule: transfer RNA, 74 nt
Filed under: Brevibacterium sp.
Lineage: Bacteria; Bacillati; Actinomycetota; Actinomycetes; Micrococcales; Brevibacteriaceae
Also listed under: 8 other names
Description: tRNA-Arg
Rfam family: tRNA
About the family: Transfer RNA (tRNA) molecules are approximately 80 nucleotides in length.
Source: RNAcentral